RNAcentral lists this unclassified non-coding RNA (200 nucleotides) under Sporormiaceae sp. Its description in RNAcentral is "partial internal transcribed spacer 2". The record is from RNAcentral. Lineage: Eukaryota; Fungi; Ascomycota; Dothideomycetes; Pleosporales; Sporormiaceae.
UUAAGUUCAGCGGGUAUCCCUACCUGAUCCGAGGUCAAAAUUGUGAAGAUAGCUUCUGGGAGCCAAUACGACGGGCCCGAGUUCGCGUUUCUGCUGCGCUCGAAGCCAAUGUACCGGCCGCCAAUAAUUUUGAGGCGAGUUCGCGCGCGCAGCGGAACAAACGCCCAACACCCAGCAGGGCUGGAGGGUACAAAUGACGC